RNAcentral lists this ribosomal RNA (274 nucleotides) under uncultured bacterium. RNAcentral describes it as "partial 16S ribosomal RNA". It matches the Rfam family "Bacterial small subunit ribosomal RNA", at positions 523 to 796 of the family's 1533-position model. The record is from RNAcentral.
AUACGGAGGGUGCAAGCGUUACUCGGAAUCACUGGGCGUAAAGCGCGCGCAGGCGGCUAUUUAAGUUGGAUGUGAAAGCCUACGGCUCAACCGUAGAACUGCAUCCAAAACUAUUUAGCUAGAGUGUGGGAGAGGAAGAUGGAAUUAGUUGUGUAGGGGUAAAAUCCGUAGAGAUAACUAGGAAUACCAAAAGCGAAGGCAAUCUUCUGGAACACUACUGACGCUGAGGCGCGAAAGCGUAGGGAGCAAACGGGAUUAGAAACCCUAGUAGUCC